GGUUUUAUAGUUUAAGAAAAAUGUUAAAUUGCAAAUUUAAAGAUGGUAAUCCUAAGACUU
This 60-nucleotide transfer RNA is filed under the name Trifida elongata. RNAcentral's name for it is "tRNA-Cys". Lineage: Eukaryota; Metazoa; Arthropoda; Insecta; Hemiptera; Cicadellidae. The record is from RNAcentral.